GUGCCAGCCGCCGCGGUAAUACGGAGGGGGUUAGCGUUGUUCGGAAUUACUGGGCGUAAAGCGCGCGUAGGCGGACAUUUAAGUCAGGGGUGAAAUCCCGGGGCUCAACCCCGGAACUGCCCUUGAUACUGGGUGUCUUGAGUUCGAGAGAGGUGAGUGGAAUUCCGAGUGUAGAGGUGAAAUUCGUAGAUAUUCGGAGGAACACCAGUGGCGAAGGCGGCUCACUGGCUCGAUACUGACGCUGAGGUGCGAAAGUGUGGGGAGCAAACAGGAUUAGAAACCCGGGUAGUCC
RNAcentral lists this ribosomal RNA (292 nucleotides) under uncultured bacterium. Its description in RNAcentral is "partial 16S ribosomal RNA". It matches the Rfam family "Bacterial small subunit ribosomal RNA", at positions 505 to 796 of the family's 1533-position model. The record is from RNAcentral.